RNAcentral lists this ribosomal RNA (118 nucleotides) under Triticum aestivum (bread wheat). Lineage: Eukaryota; Viridiplantae; Streptophyta; Magnoliopsida; Poales; Poaceae. The record is from RNAcentral.
GGAUGCGAUCAUACCAACACUAAAGCACCAGAUCCCAUCAGAACUCCGAAGUUAAGCGUGUUGGGCGAGAGUAGUACUAGGAUGGGUGACCUCCGGGAAAGUCCUCGUGUUGCAUUCC